This 424-nucleotide ribosomal RNA is filed under the name Fusobacteriota bacterium. RNAcentral describes it as "Fusobacteria bacterium partial 16S ribosomal RNA". It matches the Rfam family "Bacterial small subunit ribosomal RNA", at positions 355 to 776 of the family's 1533-position model. The record is from RNAcentral. Lineage: Bacteria; Fusobacteriati; Fusobacteriota.
UGAGGAAUAUUGGUCAAUGGGCGAGAGCCUGAACCAGCCAAGUCGCGUGAAGGAAGACAGUCCUAAGGAUUGUAAACUUCUUUUAUACGGGAAUAACGGGCGAUACGAGUAUUGCAUUGAAUGUACCGUAAGAAUAAGCAUCGGCUAACUCCGUGCCAGCAGCCGCGGUAAUACGGAGGAUGCGAGCGUUAUCCGGAUUUAUUGGGUUUAAAGGGUGCGUAGGUUGUUCGGUAAGUCAGCGGUGAAACCUGAGCGCUCAACGUUCAGCCUGCCGUUGAAACUGCCGGGCUUGAGUUCAAUGGCGGCAGGCGGAAUUCGUGGUGUAGCGGUGAAAUGCAUAGAUAUCACGAGGAACUCCGAUUGCGAAGGCAGCUUGCCAUACUGCGACUGACACUGAAGCACGAAGGCGUGGGUAUCAAACAGG